This 614-nucleotide small RNA is filed under the name Pongo abelii (Sumatran orangutan). Its description in RNAcentral is "retained intron". Lineage: Eukaryota; Metazoa; Chordata; Mammalia; Primates; Hominidae. The record is from RNAcentral.
CUACCCCAAUUAUUUACUGGGCAAAAGAAGAUGGAAUGCUACCCAAAAACAGGACAGUUUAUAAGAACUUUGAGAAAACCUUGCAGAUCAUUCAUGUUUCAGAAGCAGACUCUGGAAAUUACCAAUGUGUAGCAAAAAACGCAUUAGGAGCCAUCCACCAUACCAUUUCUGUUAGAGUUAAAGCGGCUCCAUACUGGAUCACAGCCCCUCAAAAUCUUGUGCUGUCCCCAGGAGAGGAUGGGACCUUGAUCUGCAGAGCUAAUGGCAACCCCAAACCCAGAAUUAGCUGGUUAACAAAUGGAGUCCCAAUAGAAAGUAAGUUGCCUUGACUGGUUCUAAUUGCAGUAUAUUUUCAGAGCAUAUAUACAUCCCAACAGUGAAUAAAUGGUGAUAAAAUAUAACUCAGGUUAAGGAAGGAAGCCACAUGUAUGUUAAACACAGGCACUAAAUUACCUUUGCAUUUUAUUACCAUUAGAUAUUUAUUAUGAAUGUGAAUAGUUUAUGCUGUUAACAUAAUGGUAUGUGACGACUGGUACUUGGCAAUAUUUCGUCUGUUUUUUACAUGGAUAAUGGGAAGAAUGACAGGGUCAGAAAUAAAUAUCACUUAAAAGUUU